RNAcentral lists this non-coding RNA (96 nucleotides) under Bacteroidales bacterium. RNAcentral describes it as "TPP sequence". It matches the Rfam family "TPP riboswitch aptamer (THI element)". Rfam says of the family: Vitamin B(1) in its active form thiamin pyrophosphate (TPP) is an essential coenzyme that is synthesised by coupling of pyrimidine and thiazole moieties in bacteria. Lineage: Bacteria; Pseudomonadati; Bacteroidota; Bacteroidia; Bacteroidales. The record is from RNAcentral.
CAUUAUCGAAAGGGGUGCCUUAAUACGACGGGCUGAGAUCAUACCCAUUUGACCUGAUCCGGGUAAUGCCGGCGGAGGGAAAGAUAGAUCUUCCAU